GACCAAUCACUGUGACGUUAUUUUGAAGUCUUUGAUUUCAGAGACUCACAGUCAAGACUGACUUUCCAGAAUGUCUCGGGAGCAGCUGGCUGUUUUGUUGACAUCAUCUUCAGUGUGGCAUGUGAUUAAAUUAAAGUUUAAAGGUAAUGCUGCAUAGAGGGAGUGAAUCAGAUGUGCUACCCACCCCAUACAACAGAGAAGUUACGAUGGGCCUGUGUUUUUCUCUUGAAGCAAGUUAAUCUGGUUCGGUGGCGUCAGAUGGCACAGGUUGCUGUGCUUGCUGCACUGGUGGCCUUUGUGGUGCAGGUGAUUAAGCAAAUGCAGUGGAGGAGUGACUGUUAAUGAUGUCUUGAUGCAUUACAUUGUCGAUAUCUUACUUUAUGGAGGUGAAGGUAAGCCAACCAAUAAGACAUAAAGACACUCAGGACAAGUAAUGGUAAGGAGGAAUUUGUAUUGUAUUACAUUUGUAUUUGUAUUACAUUACAUUUGCAUUCCUAAGCAAGAUACUUAAUCAUUUUAAAGAUCAUUUUAGGGAAGAAAACCUUAAAAAUGUUUUUUAGGAAAAACACACAGAUUCCUAUGGAAAAAGACCAUAUAACACUGAAAUUUAAUGGGCAUCCAAGGUGAAAUUCAAUGCAUUACCACUUCUGUGUUUCCGAAGUAUUGUUCCAUUGUCAUUUUUCCAUAUUCAUGCAUUUUAUGUCAUGGUUUUAUACAGUUUGUUCAGAAAUAGCAUGUGAAUGAGCUUUCUGUUGCGGUUUAUCUAUUUUGUCAAUGAGUAUUUUCCAACAGACUGUCGUUUGGAUCAAGCUUUGUUUAAUUACUGACUUUCCAUUCCUGUAACAAUGCAUGAUUGUUCAUAAUCAGUGUUCCUUCCCACUUCCACAGGAGACUCCCUCUGCCUACAAUGCUGCUCGAGUUUUUCUUGAAUAAUAUGUUUGUACAAAUAAUUAAUAUUUCACUUACAUUUUCUUUUCAAACUUUUUCAGUACACUAGCAGUAUAUUUUAAUUUAAACUUCUAAAUACAAUUAAUAAGGCAUGUUUGUAUGGGCUUUUCUACUCAUGUAAAGAAUUUGAGCUGUUGAACUGCUGAACUGUACAGAAUCUUCACAUUUAGAUCUUCUAAAUGGACAAGUUAGCAUUAUUUCUGUGAUGCAGCAGUACAAUGCAAGCGUUGUUCUUCUUUAUGUGGUGGGCUUUAUGGAGAGCUUUAGCACAUGAGACUUCAUCUACAUUUAUGAUGACAAAUGUUCACUAAUUUAAAUGACGUCAACAAAUAAUGCUUAUUAGCACCUUAACAAAAAUGUUGAUCAAAUGUUGAUUCAGUGAUGUUUUCGAAAUGCUUUAUUAUUGUCUUACAACAAAUUUAAUAAGCUUUCAUAUAAUUUAAAUUUAAAGACAAAAAAUACCGCUGUAGUGAAUUCACUUUUGUUGUUGUUGAUAUCUAUCAUUUGAUAUAAUUAGUCAUUUCUAGUCUAAACAAUGAUUAUCAAAGCAACUAUAAUAUUAGACUACAGAUAUCUCUGUAUAAUGUAUUCAUCUUUUAUAAUCUAUUCAUCUUGAUUUAACUGUAUAUGUAUCAGUUUCAGUAUUAUUGUUGAGAUUACAAUAGCCUGAUACAAUUGGAUCCCGUUUUAAAUUCAUAUCUACAACUGCCCUCAAUAUCCAGCAGAUGGCGCUCUCUUAUAAUUGAACAUCUCCUAUAAAGCCUGGAUGUCUGCACCUUCAUCAGUGAGAUGUUGGCUUAAUUAAAUCAACAAAAUAAAACUGUUAUUAUUAGUGAUUUUUAGUCCUACUGCUGCUCAACACCUAAUACCUUAAAUGAACAUAAAACUAUGUUAAUUGUAUUAUUGUUUGAACUCAAUAUUGGGUUUGGUGUGACAUAUCUCCCCAGGCGUCUGUCUGUCAAAAAGCCAACACAUAUUCCUCCAUGUGUUAUUUUUUUCAGCUUUACAUUUGCUGUUACACAAUCUAUCUGACUUACACAGGUAGUACAUAUUUAUUCACAUAGCUGACAGCAAAUAUACACAUCUACUGUAGUUUGUCAAGCUCAAUACAUUAGUCAGGCAAAAUGUUGAUAUAUGAUGAUAUUAACUUCUCCGAACUUGCAGAAUUGAGUAUUUCUCAGUAAAUAAAGCUAUUAUUGCUGUUUAGGAAUUUAAAGAUUAACAAAAUGCCACUGAAAUGAUAAUAGUUUGACAGUAGGGUCUACAGUAUUUAGCAGGGUUCACCACAUUCCAUGACAGAUUCCAUGCAUUACUGCCUGAAGGGGCGUUCACACAGACAGCCAUUUAAUUGUUAGAGGUCAUCAACUCACUGUACUGUUGCUAGUGUGCAUUCCUGCCUGACUGCUGUAUCCAGCAGUGAUAUGUGUGCAUUCUCAUUGGGAGUCACUUAAUGUCAUUACUGCACAUUCACAUAAACUCCAACUCUGUUCAACCUGCAUCACUAAAGGUUUUUAAGAAGCCCCUGUUCAUUCAACUUUUCAUUUAUCAAAGAAUCCUGGAAAAAAAAUGUAUAAUGGUUUCCCCUGUUUUCAACAUUAUUAAUGUUUCAGAUGUUUCAAAUCAGCAUUUUAGAAUGAUUUCUGAAGGAGCAUGUGACACUGAAGACUGGAGUAAUGAUGCUGAAAAUUCAGCUUUGCCAGCACAGGAAUAAAUGACAUUUUAAAAUAUAUUAAAAUAGAUAUUUCAGAAUAGAUAUUGAUAUUUCAGGAUAUUGCCGUUUUUACUAUAUUUUUGAUCAGAUAAAUGCAGCCUUGGUGAGCAGAAGAGGCUUCUUUAAAAACAUUAAAAAUCUUCCCAAUCCCAAACUUUUGAAUGAUAGUGCAUACUUGAAUAGGGAAAAACGCACAAAUGAUACUGUAACUAGACCAGCAUUAAUACAUAUGUUUUUAUAAAUAUCAUAACUCCAUUGAGAUUAUGUUUUCCAAUGCAAAAUCCUCAUCUAGUUGCUAUGUUUUAGCAAUCGUGGCCCUCUGGAUCUGUAUCACUUUCUGUCAUCUGUCCUCUCAUCUAGUCUGUGUAAAAAAGAAAGAAAGAAAGAAAUUGAAGGCAAAUCUCUCCUUAGUCUCACGGCUCCAGUGUUUCAGUUUCCAUGGAAACACAUUAACCCCUAACCUUGGCAUGUUAGGUGGCUAUGAAUGUGAGCACUAAGUGACUGCUCCUCCCACGCCAUGCCUGCUUUUUUUUUUUAUUCUCAAUGCCAUUCAAAUACACUUUUACCCUCUGUGUUUGCUUUCUUGUCUCCGUCAACAGAUUGUUGGGAACCAUAUGACUAAUCGACUGGCACUAAAUGUAAAAUCUUGUAUAUAAUCACACAAGUUCAGCUGACUUUCGACAUUCCAGAUAUUGCAGUUGCUUCUCAACAGGCUGUCCUUCAGGUACCCAAAUUUUACAUUGGACGUAAUGUACAUCUAAUCUGAACAUGUAGACAAGAAAACAAAAAAUUAAAAGCAGUGAAAAAAUGCUAUUUUAAUUAUGCAUUGUUGCUUGCAUAGUUCACAAAAAAUAAAAUUAAAAUUUGCUAAAACUAUUGCUACUCUCAGGCCAUCUAAGAUGUAGACAAGUUUGUUUUCUUAGUGGAAAAGAUUCUUAUGAAGCAAAAAAGCUGCAUGUUUGUAAUAGAUCCAUCAAGACAUUAUUAACUUCAAACAAGUCCUAUAUCCAUAAUAUUGCAUUCUUCUGCAAAAAGAUUGUCUCUUUUGAAUCAGGAGAGAAAUAUGCACAGAUCAAGUACCAUUUAUAAGCAAAAACAGUUCUAUACAAAUACGUUGGUGAUGUGAGAGGACGACAGGGGAUGGACUUUAUCACUGGAGGAAGCAUUAUUUAUUAAGGAUUCACCUUUUGGCCAAAAGUGACAGUCUAAAUAUAUUUAUUAUGGCUUUGUUUCUUAUAAACACAGUUUUUUGCUUCACAAAACAAUUGAUGGACUGGAGUCGUUUGGAUUAUUGUGAUGUUUUAUCAGCUGUUUGGACUCUCAUUCUGACGGCACCCAUUCACUGCAGAGGAUCCACUGGUAAGCAAGUAAUAUAAUGCUAAAAUUCUCCAAAUCUGUUCAGACAAAGAAACAAACUCAGGCUGGUCUCAGCAUGAGUAAAUUUUCAUUUUUUGCAUGACUUUAAUAAUUUCUUUAAUUAUUAGAACAGACCUGCGACCCACCAGUUGGAGACCCCUGCUCUAUUGUGUAUGUACAAAUACUGUUUCCUUCAAUUAAAACACCUUUGCUGACAGGCUGAAGAAUUUCCUAAUUUUAAUCUUACUUUGAUCAUUAUUGUGAGGAAUCACAUGCUGUUUAGACGGCUGCGAAGGCCCAGCUGGUCCAGGUUACUUCCGUCUCACUUCCUCUUCCUGCUGUGAGCUGCUUUCUCAUACUGUCCUGUUAUAAUAUGUAAACAGAGCUUUAUUCAAAAGAAUCAAGGAUUGAGUUUCACUGUAAACAAGCAGCAACUUGAUAUAUAUGAGGAGUUGUAUCCAUAGGCAUUCCCUCCCAGCUCACUUUAAAUCACUUUCAUGGGGGAAUUAGUGAAAAAAUAGUUUUUUUCUUUAACCUACAGUCUCUCUUUUUCUCUUUCUCCUCCGCACACAUCUUCUUCUAACUAACCUUGCUCUGCAGAGGCUUCAUGUAAAGGGAAGCUGUUACUUGUUGAGAUCCUGGUAGUAUCCAACUUGGCACAUUUACACCUAGAAAGAUAACAAAGACAACUGUAUUAGAAUC
Long non-coding RNA from Cyprinus carpio carpio, 4717 nucleotides. The record is from Ensembl. Lineage: Eukaryota; Metazoa; Chordata; Actinopteri; Cypriniformes; Cyprinidae.